This 550-nucleotide ribosomal RNA is filed under the name uncultured bacterium. Its description in RNAcentral is "bacterial SSU rRNA". It matches the Rfam family "Bacterial small subunit ribosomal RNA", at positions 355 to 896 of the family's 1533-position model. The record is from RNAcentral.
UAGGGAAUCUUCCACAAUGGACGCAAGUCUGAUGGAGCAACGCCGCGUGAGUGAAGAAGGUCUUCGGAUCGUAAAACUCUGUUGUUAGAGAAGAACACGAGUGAGAGUAACUGUUCAUUCGAUGACGGUAUCUAACCAGCAAGUCACGGCUAACUACGUGCCAGCAGCCGCGGUAAUACGUAGGUGGCAAGCGUUGUCCGGAUUUAUUGGGCGUAAAGGGAACGCAGGCGGUCUUUUAAGUCUGAUGUGAAAGCCUUCGGCUUAACCGGAGUAGUGCAUUGGAAACUGGAAGACUUGAGUGCAGAAGAGGAGAGUGGAAUUCCAUGUGUAGCGGUGAAAUGCGUAGAUAUAUGGAGGAACACCGGUGGCGAAAGCGGCUCUCUGGUCUGUAACUGACGCUGAGGCUCGAAAGCGUGGGGAGCAAACAGGAUUAGAUACCCUGGUAGUCCACGCCGUAAACGAUGAGUGCUAGGUGUUGGGUCCUUUCCGGGACUCAGUGCCGCAGCUAACGCAUUAAGCACUCCGCCUGGGGAGUACGACCGCAAGGUUG